UGCAUCGGCCGGGAAUCGAACCCGGGCUGCCCGCGUUGCGGGCGAGCAUUCUACCACUGAACCACCGAUGC
Molecule: transfer RNA, 71 nt
Filed under: Cordylochernes scorpioides
Lineage: Eukaryota; Metazoa; Arthropoda; Arachnida; Pseudoscorpiones; Chernetidae
Description: tRNA-Cys
Source: RNAcentral